ACUGGAACAUGGAUGGAUGAUCCGUGGAGUCUUCCUUGGUUGAUACCCGCAGGCAGAGGGGAGAAGUGAGAGGGACAAUGGAACACCAUGUCCAGGAGUGGCCUGAGGUUUGCCUGCCUCAGUUAACUCUGAUCUCCAUGAGGACAGAAUCUGUCUUGAAGUCUUUGACCCCCGGGCGCUAGCCUUCAGCACUUGGGACGGCUUCUCAUCAUCACCAGGAUUGUGUCAGGGAGCAGCCAUCACUGCUGGAGUUUGAAGGGACCGAUAAGCAUACAAAGCAGAGAGACAGACGAAGUAAUGGGUCAGCCAAAAUGUGAAUGGAAGCCGAAUUGGAGAACAAGACUCCAAGGAGCAGCAACCCAGGGUCUCCGGAUGCUCUUGCCUCCAAGUUGGUCCUACAGGAGCCCCCUCAACAGAUAUUCGGGGUCUUCAGAAUGGAUGCUGACAUCCCUUCACUUAUCCAGACAAGGUCUCUCUCAUGGCAUAAACUAUGAAAACGGUAGAUAGCUAUUCCCCUGUGGGGAAUGAAGGUGGGAGCUCUCAUGGCAGGCAAACCAGAUCAAACCUCCACCAUAAGUAGCAGUGUCUGGAGAAAAUGUAACCGAGAAAGAGAGAGACUGUACAGAAGAUGACCUGUGUAAUAAAUUGCUGUGGCUUGAUACCCAGGAUAAGGAAUCACAAAUGUCGAUAAUCUAUUCGUGAAAGAGAAGAGGAACUAAUGUAAAUUGAGAAGUUUAGGUAAAAACUCCAAGUCUGGAAUUCGAAUCAAACCCAUUGAUGGGGAAGCUGGCUCAGAGAGACCCCAAGGUCACAGAAGGACUAAGUAGCAGGGCUGGAGUUUGAGCCCAGCGGCCUGACUCUUGAGCCUGAGUCUUUAAGGAAACACUUAGGACCAAGCCAGGCUGCUUCAAAGAACAGAGGAAGGACAGCUGGAGAAGAGGUCACAGGCACAGCGAGGUUGAACACACAAGUUAAUGUUAAACAGCUAUUAAGUGACAGAGAUGGAUUUGAGGCUAAGGUUUGCUCCUCAGAAACUCCGAUGUAUCUGCCUGGCUUUCUUGUCCAUGGAUGGGUUUUCCUAUUAGCACUCGCUCUUCAGCACCUAGACUCUGCGGUCUGUGGACAGAGAGGCGAUGUAUUGACUGAACGCCCCAGGAACUAGGCGAAUAACAAUAAGUGUCCCCAAAGAUGUGGAUAUCGGGUUCCCUCGCAUCAUGUUUAAAUUCUACCCCAAACUGGAAAAUGGCCAGUGUCCUUGGCCCCAGAGACCUGUCUCCUUCCGUUCCCUGCCCUCUCUGCUCCCCAGGUAAAUGCAUUGAGCUCCUCUCCUUCCUCUCUGACGAGGUCCCAGCAGAGCCAGCCUGAGGGGGGGUUGGGGGAGGAGAGAAAGGUGACCCUUAGCCACAGUGGCAGCUUCACCUGCCAGUGGUUUCGUGUUUCCUACACGGAGCUGAGGUUCAGGUUCACUGUCUCAUUUACUCCUGAGGGGAGGAUUAUUGUCUGCACUUUACAGGGACAACACCGAGGCCGAGAAAGUAUUACCAGCCCAGAGCUAACAAACUACAGCUCCGGUGGAGGAAAGCCGGGAUUUCUUCCCGUUCACAUCUGUUUGACUUCCAAACCUGCUUCUCUUUCUUUCUCAUUCUCAUUAUUGCUGUUGUGAGGAGGAGGAGGAGGAGGAAUGCUGCCUAAGAGUCAGCUCUUUGUAGUGGAACUUGUGCAUGCCUCAAGCUAGAAAGAAAAUCAAAAGGAUGCAACGUGUUUCCGUGUCAGUGCAAACAUAUUUGGGGGGAGAGGCUGGUCCUUGGUUGCCUUCUUUCACCAGUACUUGGAAAGUCUCAACUGAAGAAAGAAUAUGGGGAGUUCCUGUUGUGGCUCAGUGGGUUAAGAACCCCGCUGGGGAUGCGGGCUCGAUCCCUGGCCCCUCUCAGUGGGUUAAGGAUCUGUCAUUGCUACAAGCUUCAGCAAAGAUCACAGAUGUGGCUCAGAUCCAGCAUUGUUGUGGCUGUGGCUGUGGCCAGCAGCUGUAACUCCAAUUCGACCUCUAGCCCAGGAGCUUCCAUAUGCUGCAAGUGCAGCCCUACAAAGAAAAAA
This 2094-nucleotide long non-coding RNA is filed under the name Sus scrofa (pig). RNAcentral's name for it is "lncRNA (ENSSSCG00035053204.1)". Lineage: Eukaryota; Metazoa; Chordata; Mammalia; Artiodactyla; Suidae. The record is from RNAcentral.